Molecule: ribosomal RNA, 620 nt
Filed under: Bathyscimorphus byssinus acuminatus
Lineage: Eukaryota; Metazoa; Arthropoda; Insecta; Coleoptera; Leiodidae
Description: partial 16S ribosomal RNA
Rfam family: Bacterial large subunit ribosomal RNA
Source: RNAcentral
GUCUUAUUGAUAAUAAUUUUAAGUCUAGUCUGCCCAAUGAUUAUUUAAAUGGCUGCAGUAUUUUAACUGUACAAAGGUAGCAUAGUAAUUAGUUUCUUAAUUAGGAACUGGAAUGAAUGAUUGAACGAGAUAAUAACUGUCUCAUUUAAAGUUAUAGAAUUUUAUCUUUAAGUUAAAAAGCUUAAAUUUAUUUAAAAGACGAGAAGACCCUAUAGAAUUUUAUAUUAUUAUAAAGUUAAGAUAUUAGGAAUAAAGGGCUUAAUUUUUUUAAAAUUAUUUGAUUGGGGUGAUUAAAAAAUUUAUUAAACUUUUUUUAUCUUUUAUCAUAAAUAUAUGAUUUAAUGAUCCAAUUUUUUUGAUUAUAAGAUUAAAUUACCUUAGGGAUAACAGCGUAAUUUUUUUGGAGAGUUCAUAUUGAUAAAAGAGAUUGCGACCUCGAUGUUGGAUUAAAGUUAAUUUUUAAUGUAGAAGUUAAAAUAUUAAGUCUGUUCGACUUUUAAAACUUUACAUGAUCUGAGUUUAAACCGGUGUGAGCCAGGUUGGAUUCUAUCUUUAAUUAGAUAGUAUAUUUUAGUACGAAAGGACCAAGUAUAUAUUAAAUUAAUUGUUUUUGAGUAAUA